UACAGAGGUGGCAAGCGUUGUUCGGAAUUACUGGGCGUAAAGGGCGCGUAGGCGGUUCGUUAAGUCCUGUGUGAAAUCCCCCGGCUCAACUGGGGAACUGCACAGGAAACUAGCGGGCUUGAGUUCGGGAGAGGGAAGCGGAAUUCCGGGUGUAGCGGUGAAAUGCGUAGAUAUCGAGAGGAACACCUGAGGUGAAGACGGGUUGCUGGGCCGACACUGACGCUGAAGCGCGAAAGCCAGGGGAGCAAACGGG
Molecule: ribosomal RNA, 253 nt
Filed under: uncultured bacterium
Lineage: Bacteria
Description: partial 16S ribosomal RNA
Rfam family: Bacterial small subunit ribosomal RNA
Source: RNAcentral